GUGCGUGAUUUUAAAUGACCUAACUUGUACUGCAUCCCCUCGUCUCCGUGCAUUUGUAUCGACUUCGAUAACCCACGUAUAGUAUAUGACUAUAAUAGUAAUUAUACAUAUAGCAUAAAGUCACAACAUGGUGUCAGAAGACGGAGUCACGGAAUAAUUUGCGGAUGGUAUUUUAAAAGUUAGCUAAAAAAAAAGUGCUAGCACGUGCGAACAUGGAGCAGUUCAAGCCGCCACCACCGUUGAUACUUACUGGGAAUAUAGCUGAAAACUGGAGAAGAUGGGAACAACGUUUCCAGCUGUAUAUGAUCGCUUCAGGUGCGUUGGAUAAGGAAGAGACGGUUAAAAUAGCCAUUCUGCUGCAUACUGUCGGCGAGGAGGCGCUAGAAGUGUAUAACACGCUCAGCAUCAUCCCAGAAGGAGAUGAAGAAACAAUGGAGGAAGUUCUCCAAGCCUUCACGGACUACUGCAGCCCCCGAAAGAACGUGGUUUUCGAACGCCAUCAAUUCUGGCCACACGUGAUGUCAGCAGGAAUAUCGGUGGACAGAAGAGCAAAGACUGAGUUUGUCAGAAAUGAAGAUGACAUGAUUUGGGAUAAAUGAGUGUUUCGCAUAAACGAUAUUCGUCUGAAGGAGAGACUGUUGCGUGAUAAUGCGCUCACUUUGCGCGGAGCCAUGGACACGUGCAGAUCAGCAGAGCUCGCUAAGUGACAAAUACAAGCGAUGCAGACGUCACAGGUUGUCCAAGACACCUCAGUAGAUGCUUUAAGGAAAGCAACAGGGCAAACGUGCACGGGCAGCUGGAACAAGAGCAAAACCAGCAGCAAGAGGCACGUAACGACUGUCUGCCAUAAAUGUGGAAACAAGCGCGAGCCCCGUCAGUGCCCAGCUUAUGGUGCAGUGUGCCAUAAAUGUGGUUACCGCACCAAUAACACACUCCGGGGGAAGGAUACCUUCAGGAUGAGGAGGAGAGCUCUCGGGCUGUAAUUGCCGGGACAAGGCGUCGGGUUUGAUGUUCUUGGAGCCUGGUCUGUAAGAGAGCAAGAAUUCAAACCGAUUAAAAAAAAGAGCCCACCUUGCUUGACGGGCGGUCAGUCGUUUGGCCGAGCGGAUGUAUUGCAGAUUUUUGUGAUCCGUCCAGACCACAAAUGGCUGCUCCGCCCCCUCCAACCAGUGUCUCCAUUCCUCCAAUGCCAGUUUGACUGCCAAAAACUCCCGGUUUCCAAUGUCGUAAUUCCUCUCUGAUGGGGACAGCUUCCGGGAGAAGAACGCACAAGGAUGAGCCCUUUGGUCCUCAGCCGACCGCUGAGAAAGGACUGCUCCUACACCAGUGUCUGAGGCGUCAACCUCCACAAUAAACUGCCAGGCUGGAUCUGGGAGUAUGAGGAUGGGAGCAGAUUGUAGCUCACGUCCUGCCUCUGGUCCAGUCAUCCCCUGCAUCACUUGUCAGAAGGAAGUUCCCUUUUCAGAGGUGAAGCUCCACAGAUUGAGCUGCAAUGGGUAUGUACUUCCUAAAGCAAUGCAAAGGACACCCAUGCAGGAAAGAGAACAAGAGGGAGGCCAAAGGGAAGAAAAUGAUAGUGAGACAGCCCUAGUCAGUGACAGUGUUCCAGUGAGGUCUGAAACAUCAGCUGAGAGUGCAGUAGUUCCAGCAGUGAUUGUCAACGAGGAGUUGGAUCGCAAAGAAACAGUCGUUGUGACAGAUUUUGGGAAACCACUUAGAAUGAAGAUGGAUGUAAGGGAGUCUGAAGAGGACCGGGAACGGGAGCUUCUCUUAUUCUAUAAACAGCAGCAAGAAUGGGCAUGUCCUCUUCAUUGUACUCUGGUUGGUGAUGUUGCUGUUGGAGAGGGAGUGAUGCGGUACUUUAUGACAACAAUCAUAUCCAAACUCCAGUUUGGAUUCAGUCUAGAUCUUGGAGGAAUGGGCCGAACACUGCUAUUUGAGGGUGAACCUGACCAUCUUGUUCCAGCAGCAUCAGAGGCACUUAUUGAAAGCAACCUCUUCUGGGUUGCAGGAAGGAUGUUGGCCCACACCUUUCUGCAUGACGGUCCCCAUGUCACAGGAUUAAGUCCUGCUGUAAUUCAUGUACUGUUCAAUGGGGACCCUGAAAUGGCUACUGUUGUUGUUGAAGACUGUCCUGAUCUGCACAUCAGGAGCAUCAUAGAACUUUUAUGUAACCUAAAAGAAACUUUGCCAUGUAAAAAAUAUUGCUUGGGCAGAUAUAAUAAAUAGUAUGGUCCUUAUUCUAUCUUGAACAAGAAGAACUUGUUCUUGGAACAGAAAGAAACAGUUUCAGAUCUUUCCAUGUCUUGGGAUCAUCCGGCAGUCACCAAAACAAAUCGGAGAUGGCUACAUAAUAAACUUCUACUCCAUGCAGUCGUUGGGAGGACCAUGCGCCAAAUUAAACAGUUGACAAAGGGACUGAAAGAUGUGAUGGUAUGGCCCCUGCUGACAUCUAGGCCAGAUGUUGUCCCACUUCCUUUCCCCAAAAUGGCUGAAAUGCAGUUCACACCCCAGAUGCUCCUAGAAAAAUCACAUGGCCAGUUGAGGACAGUGAUGAUGAAGACUUUGACUUGGACACCACCUGCCGCUUCACUGGCUUUCUAAGGAUGUUCAUUGAAACAGCUUCAUCAGGUACCCUGGCCCAGCUGCUGACAUUCUGGGUUGGCUGGGAGAUGCUUCCUCCUGAACUGACAGUGGAGAUUUCUGAGGGAACCCUUCCUAUGUCCUCCACAUGCUUUGAAACACUAAACCUGCCAUCCAUCCAUCCAUCCAUCGUCAAACCGCUUAUCCUGCAGACAGGGUCGCGGGGGGGCUGGAGUCCAUCCCAGCCAACUUUGGGCGAUAGACCGGGUACAUCCUGGAUUGGUCGCCAGCCAAUCGCAGGGCUAACACAGAGACAUACAAUCAUUCACACUCACACAUCUACGGGCAAUUUAAAGUCCCCAAUUAACCUGAUCCCCAGAGCAUGUCUUUGGACUGUGGGAGGAAGCCGGAGUACCCGGAGAGAACCCACGCAGACACGGGGAGAACAUGCAGACUCCACACAGAAAGGCCACUGGGCAGAGUCAAACCCAGGACCUUCUUGCUGUGAGGCGACAGUGCUAACCACCACGCCACCGUGCCGCCUAAACCUGGCAGCUCAUUUCAAAAUCUACAUGGACUUUGAGAAAGCACUUGUCGCUGCUAUAAAAAGUACUGGAUUUGGGCUUGUUUAAGUUUUUUCAGACAGAUGUCAAUUAGGGCAGGGCAAUAUUUCAAUAUUAUAUCUAUUGUGAUUUUGAAGCGUAAUAUUGUUACAUGGUAAGUUUAGUCUUUUCCUGGUUUCAAAGGCUGCAUUACAGUAAAGUGUCAUUUUCUGAAUUUACCAGACUGUUCUAGCUGUUCUAUUAUUUGCCUUUAACCACUUAGUCAUUAUAUGCACAUUAUGAUGGUUAUUUUUCAGAAAUUUAAAUGUGGAAGAUAUUUUGUGAAUGAAUCAAUUGUCAACCAUACAAUAUCGUCAUUGAGGUGUUUGGUCAAAAAUAUUGUGAUAUUUGAUUUUCUCCAUAUUGCCAGCCCUAAUGUCAAUGCCUACACUGUUCAGAUGAAUUGACACAAGUUCAGUGUCUUUGAAAACUUUGAUUAACACACUGUGCACAGUAGUUGACUUUUUAUUUUAUUUUUAUUCUGCACAU
Gasterosteus aculeatus aculeatus (three-spined stickleback) is the source of this 3674-nucleotide long non-coding RNA. The record is from Ensembl. Lineage: Eukaryota; Metazoa; Chordata; Actinopteri; Perciformes; Gasterosteidae.